This 295-nucleotide ribosomal RNA is filed under the name uncultured bacterium. RNAcentral describes it as "partial 16S ribosomal RNA". It matches the Rfam family "Bacterial small subunit ribosomal RNA", at positions 775 to 1067 of the family's 1533-position model. The record is from RNAcentral.
GGAUUAGAUACCCUGGUAGUCCACGCCGUAAACGAUGUGCACUAGAUAUUGGAUUGUUGACCGAUUCAGUGUCGUAGCUAACGCAUUAAGUGCACCGCCUGGGAAGUACGGUCGCAAGACUAAAACUCAAAGGAAUUGACGGGGGCCCGCACAAGCGGUGGAUUAUGUGGUUUAAUUCGAAGCAACGCGCAGAACCUUACCUAGGCUUGAAAUCCUGAGAAUCUGCUAGAGAUAGCGGAGUGCCCUUCGGGGAAUUCAGUGACAGGCGCUGCAUGGCUGUCGUCAGCUCGUGCCG